ACCAAUAACCAAGUCACCCGGAAUGCGACUGAUCCCAUCAGAGCUCGGAAGAUUAGUAGAGUUGAGCCUGGAUAGUGCUUGGAUGGGUGACCAUGAAUAAAACAGGUUUAGUAGGCA
Molecule: ribosomal RNA, 117 nt
Filed under: Petromyzon marinus (sea lamprey)
Lineage: Eukaryota; Metazoa; Chordata; Hyperoartia; Petromyzontiformes; Petromyzontidae
Source: RNAcentral